GGAAUAGCUCAGUGGUGGAGUGUGCGCUUAGCAUGCAUGAGGUCCUGGGUUCAAUCCCCAGUGCCUCCA
RNAcentral lists this transfer RNA (69 nucleotides) under Camelus dromedarius (Arabian camel). It matches the Rfam family "tRNA". Rfam says of the family: Transfer RNA (tRNA) molecules are approximately 80 nucleotides in length. Their secondary structure includes four short double-helical elements and three loops (D, anti-codon, and T loops). RNAcentral also lists the same sequence under 1 other name. The record is from Rfam by way of RNAcentral. Lineage: Eukaryota; Metazoa; Chordata; Mammalia; Artiodactyla; Camelidae.